GCGGAGGAAAAGAAACCAACAGGGAUUGCCCUAGUAACGGCGAGUGAAGCGGCAACAGCUCAAAUUUGAAAUCUGGCUUCGGCCCGAGUUGUAAUUUGCAGAGGAAGCUUUAGGCGCGGCACCUUCUGAGUCCCCUGGAACGGGGCGCCAUAGAGGGUGAGAGCCCCGUAUAGUUGGAUGCCUAGCCUGUGUGAAGCUCCUUCGACGAGUCGAGUAGUUUGGGAAUGCUGCUCAAAAUGGGAGGUAAAUUUCUUCUAAAGCUAAAUACCGGCCAGAGACCGAUAGCGCACAAGUAGAGUGAUCGAAAGAUGAAAAGCACUUUGAAAAGAGGGUUAAAUAGCACGUGAAAUUGUUGAAAGGGAAGCGCUUGUGACCAGACUUGCGCCGGGCGGAUCAUCCGGUGUUCUCACCGGUGCACUCCGCCCGGCUCAGGCCAGCAUCGGUUCUCGCGGGGGGAUAAAGGCCCUGGGAACGUAGCUCCUCCGGGAGUGUUAUAGCCCGGGGCGUAAUGCCCUCGCGGGGACCGAGGUUCGCGCAUCUGCAAGGAUGCUGGCGUAAUGGUCAUCAGCGACCCGUCUUGAAACACGGACCAAGGAGUCAAGGUUUUGCGCGAGUGUUUGGGUGUAAAACCCGCACGCGUAAUGAAAGUGAACGUAGGUGAGAGCUUCGGCGCAUCAUCGACCGAUCCUGAUGUUUUCGGAUGGAUUUGAGUAGGAGCGUUAAGCCUUGGACCCGAAAGAUGGUGAACUAUGCUUGGAUAGGGUGAAGCCAGAGGAAACUCUGGUGGAGGCUCGCAGCGGUUCUGACGUGCAAAUCGAUCGUCAAAUCUGAGCAUGGGGGCGAAAGA
This 847-nucleotide ribosomal RNA is filed under the name Chaetomium megalocarpum. RNAcentral's name for it is "eukaryotic LSU rRNA". It matches the Rfam family "Eukaryotic large subunit ribosomal RNA", at positions 50 to 930 of the family's 3401-position model. The record is from RNAcentral. Lineage: Eukaryota; Fungi; Ascomycota; Sordariomycetes; Sordariales; Chaetomiaceae.